GUUUGGCACCUCGAUGUCGGCUCAUCACAUCCUGGGGCUGAAGUCGGUCCCAAGGGUAUGGCUGUUCGCCAUUUAAAGUGGUACGCGAGCUGGGUUUAGAACGUCGUGAGACAGUUCGGUCCCUAUCUGCCGUGGGCGUUGGAAGAUUGAAGGGGGCUGCUCCUAGUACGAGAGGACCGGAGUGGACGAACCUCUGGUGUUCGGGUUGUGUCGCCAGACGCAUUGCCCGGUAGCUAAGUUCGGAAUCGAUAACCGCUGAAAGCAUCUAAGCGGGAAGCGAGCCCUGAGAUGAGUCUUCCCUGAUACUUUAAGUAUCCUAAAGGG
This 324-nucleotide ribosomal RNA is filed under the name Vibrio parahaemolyticus. RNAcentral's name for it is "partial 23S ribosomal RNA". It matches the Rfam family "Bacterial large subunit ribosomal RNA", at positions 2516 to 2835 of the family's 2925-position model. The record is from RNAcentral. Lineage: Bacteria; Pseudomonadati; Pseudomonadota; Gammaproteobacteria; Vibrionales; Vibrionaceae.